RNAcentral lists this transfer RNA (68 nucleotides) under Rhodella violacea. The record is from RNAcentral. Lineage: Eukaryota; Rhodophyta; Rhodellophyceae; Rhodellales; Rhodellaceae.
CGAAGUUUCGAUCGCUUCGUACUACGGUGGUCGGGUUGUCGUAGCCGUGGCUUGCAAAAUUUGCAAGU